AUUCUGUCACGUAAAUACAUGAAACAUAACACCUUAUGAAAUUAUUACCUUCUGG
Molecule: small RNA, 55 nt
Filed under: Plasmodium falciparum 3D7
Lineage: Eukaryota; Apicomplexa; Aconoidasida; Haemosporida; Plasmodiidae
Description: Pfa-npcR6686
Source: RNAcentral